Molecule: ribosomal RNA, 253 nt
Filed under: uncultured bacterium
Lineage: Bacteria
Description: partial 16S ribosomal RNA
Rfam family: Bacterial small subunit ribosomal RNA
Source: RNAcentral
UACGAAGGGUGCAAGCGUUACUCGGAAUUACUGGGCGUAAAGCGUGCGUAGGUGGUUUGUUAAGUCCGCUCUGAAAGCCCGGGGCUCAACCCCGGGAGGCGGGUGGAUACUGUCAAGCUCGAGUCCGGAAGAGGCGAGUGGAACUCCUGGUGUAGCGGUGAAAUGCGCAGAUAUCGGGAGGAACACCGGUGGCGAAGGCGGUUCUCUGGGCCUUACCUGACGCUGAGGAGCGAAAGCGUGGGGAGCGAACAGG